UGGGGAAUAUUGCACAAUGGGCGAAAGCCUGAUGCAGCAACGCCGCGUGAGUGAUGAAGGCCUUCGGGUUGUAAAGCCCUGUCUUUUGGGACGAUAAUGACGGUACCAAAGGAGGAAGCCACGGCUAACUACGUGCCAGCAGCCGCGGUAAUACGUAGGUGGCAAGCGUUGUCCGGAUUUACUGGGCGUAAAGGAUGCGUAGGCGGAUUUUUAAGUGAGAUGUGAAAUACCCGGGCUUAACUUGGGUGCUGCAUUUCAAACUGGGAAUCUAGAGUGCGGGAGAGGAGAAUGGAAUUCCUAGUGUAGCGGUGAAAGUGCGUAGAGAUUAGGAAGAACACCAGUGGCGAAGGCGAUUCUCUGGACCGUAACUGACGCUGAGGCAUGAAAGCGUGGGUAGCAAAACAGGAUUAGAUACCCUGGUAGUCCACGCCGUAAACGAUGAGUACUAGGUGUAGGAGGUAUCGACCCCUUCUGUGCCGCAGUUAACACAAUAAGUACUCCGCCUGGGAAGUACGAUCGCAAGAUUAAAAACUC
This 534-nucleotide ribosomal RNA is filed under the name uncultured bacterium. RNAcentral describes it as "partial 16S ribosomal RNA". It matches the Rfam family "Bacterial small subunit ribosomal RNA", at positions 355 to 902 of the family's 1533-position model. The record is from RNAcentral.